This is a long non-coding RNA of Anser brachyrhynchus (Pink-footed goose), 3304 nucleotides long. NCBI's taxonomy places the organism in Eukaryota, Metazoa, Chordata, Aves, Anseriformes, Anatidae. The record is from Ensembl.
AUGAAAGUAAAAGCCAGGUCUGAGGUGGUUUAUAUCCAGUGUAAUAUACCUCUGGAGACCUGGGUACUAGCACUGCUUCUGCUCCUCUCACCACUCUCGGCAACCACUGGCACCUACGGCCCCUGGCCCAGCAAGAGCCCGUGGACUCAGUGCACCUCUCUAGGGGUGGGAUCAAGCUCGGCUUCAGGGCAAGAGAAGAGUAACGGAAUAAAGAGGAAAAAAUCAUGAGCAAAAUCGCAUGAUUUUUUAAAAUAAGCACUGCUGGUCUGAACACACAAGGACUGAGUGCUACUGCAUUGGCUUGCUGUUCUGCAUCAAACAACAGGAAAAGUAACAGCAGGUUGGUUUUACAGAAGGUUGUUUGGUACAAAAUUUUAUAAUGUUGGCUUAAAUGUGUGUAUCUUCUGCUUUUUUUUUUUCUUUUUUCUUUUUUCCAGCUCCACUCUCCUCUGCUCACCAGUGUUGGCAGUAGCAAGUGCAGCUAUCAGCUUCUGACCACCAAGGUUGCUCUGUCUCCCUGAAAAUUCUCCUUAGCACUGCAAAAUCCUAUCUUUCUUCAUAUGGGAAAUAUUUAGCAGCUAAGAGGCUCAGCUUUUUCAAAACUACACUUCCACAAGUCUCAGCGGCAGCUUUGCCCCACUGUGGACAGCAGCAUUGACAGGAUGCAGGCAGCCGACAACUGCAUAAGCAACAAGCGCCAGCAGUGCUGCAAAACUUCUGUCAAGAAAUAACUGGAUGUAAAAGUAUUCUAAGAAUGUGGACCAACAGAUUCUGGCAUCUCAAAACCUGGGGGAUCUAGGAAGAAGCUAUGGGGGGAUGGCAGCAUUAAUAUUUUAUACCCUUUUCAAAAUAUGUUCGUAGCUUUCAGCCAUGCUGGCUGCUGUAGUGAGGUCAGCAGUUCCCUACUUCCUUCUCAUGUUCUGCCACCAUCCCACCCAGGGUAGCUUUAAAUCACAUGUAAUUUGCUUUUACCAGAUAUCUAAAAAUUUCAGCUUAUUACUGAUUACCAUUUUCUAUUUGGAUGGCAAGACUACCCUCAGUUACUGUUUCUAGGAGUCAUAAAAGGGCCAUUUGUCUGCCUUACAUCUGUUUCUUAGUGUUCUGUCUCCUUUCUGGUGACAGAAACACUAAAACCGAGUCCAAAUUCUGUGCUAUGCUGCUUCUGUAGAAGUAGAUUCACUAGCAGAGUAAAACCUUUGCAUUUGUCCUCCUACUGAAAAAAAAAAAGCAAAAAAAAAAAAGCUUGGAUUUCAGUUUGGCUGUUAACUCCUUUUUACAAAUCUAGCUGAUGAAAUAGUACUCAAGGCAAAUUAGUGAGAAAAGGCAAGAGUCUCAAGUGGUGCAAGCCAACAGAGCUCACUUUCACCAUUCAGACAACACUUGGACCACCUGAGAAUGUGGGAUAGCUACGUUAACAGCAAUUUUCUUUUAUUACAAGUCCUGCUGUGUUUAGUCACUGAAAAAAAAAAAAGACACACAAAAAUAUCAUACAGAGCUCUUUUUUUUGGUUUGAUUCCUUUCUUUCACACCUCUAGAACAGUACUAAUUCUGACAAGCCAGGAGGAUCUUGCUUAUUAGGGUCCUGUAUACACACUUUCAGAGAUCCUAACAUCAUACUGUUUGACCUACUGCCUCAAAUUCACCUCAGAGUGCCACAAAACCCAGUACCUGGUUAUUACUAAACACACACACUUCCUUUCUUGUCCCCCUGGCUUUCAGACUAUGGGUGUAGCAUGUGCAGUAUCCUUACUUCCCAGAGAUAUCUCAGAUUAUUGUCUCUUCCAGGAGGACAAACCUAAAAACCCUUACAGGUCACUAAAAUCACGAGCCACCAAAAUGAGCAAAUUUCAUUCAAUGUUGAAUUACUGUUUCACCAAGAUGAUUUCAUAGCCAUAUCUUUCUUUCAGAUCUUGAUUUUUAUCAUAACAAAUUUUUAAGAAAGACCCCACCACCACCCACUUUGGAAAAUCAGUCACAGAAAUGGCAAAGUUGAAUUCUAUUUACUGCUGCUUUGCCUACCUUAUCUCCUGAUAGAAACAUAGGCUUACAGUAAGUAUCCUCAUCCGGUACAUCAUUAGGAUGAACAGACAGUUACCUCAAUACAGGGAGAAGAUUCAGCAAAGAUUUUGAAGGAUUCCUAGCUACUGUGUAUCCCCUAGUUCUUUGACCUCUGAUAUUGCCUUUUAUUAUUAAAGCCUCCCCCAUCUCUCCUCACCCCUGCCACAUAUAUGUCCCCGAAAAUUGAUCUAAUCUUCUUCUUCUUCUUCUUCUUCUUAUUCUUUUCCUUCUUCUUCUUGUGUUUUCUUCCAGAUUUUACCACAGCAAUCUGGGCAACUGCCCAAAAUUUAUAAAUGAAAACCUCCUCAUGUAGCACAGCAUCAGCAUAACAUACCAGCAGCUAAAAUACCCUCUCUCUCUCUGUUCUGAAUCCAAACUUUGGCAUUGUCCUUGUCACAAAGCUGCUUCUUCCAAGCCAGUGCAGCAAAGGUGGUCACGUUUGUGUAGGAAGUCAGGGCCGCUCACACCAAUGAGCGCUCGCACGCCAGGCUUGGCCCCAGAAAGGGAACACACUCCCUUGGAAGAGGAACUGAAAGUAUGCCUGGGGAAGCCUGCUUUGCCUCUGACCAAACUAGCUGUCUAAGAAAAUGCCAGACCUUGCUGCACUGGGGUCAAAUGUAGAAUUAUGUGGCAGUUUGAUAAGCUACAGUACACUAAUUUAUUGGCUAUUUUAAAAAAUGUAGAGGAAAUUUUAUUACGGAUUACUUUGCUUUCCUGAAAACUUUUUAUAAUUAAAAACAUCUGGAAGACAUUUCAAUAUAUCAUAAACAAGAGGAAAUCCAAAGCACGUGACUUCUAAGAAAAUGAUGCAAAUACCUUUCUGUGCCAAAAUUUACAGUAAUCUGUUUUUCUUAUUUUGUUACAGGGGGAGGGAGAAUUGAUGGAGGAAGAGUCAACAAUGAGAAAACUACUAGUAUAAAAAAUAUACCACAUUAGGAACCACUGUUUCAUGAAAAAAUACUAUUUAAAAAAAUCUCUAAAAUAGAUGAAAGUCUCCCUCUCCCCGCUUAAUUAGUUUCCUGGGAAUAUAUCCUUCUGGAGUGGAUAAGUGAUGACAUCAAUCCUGCCAAUAGUAGGAUGCUAUCAGUAAGAAAGAAGGAAAAAGAACAAGAAUACAUUUUGGAUGACUGUAGGUAAAGGAAACUACUGGUUUAAUCUGCUGAGUACUCUGCUUCUUAAUUAAUAUCACUAAAUACCUGCAGCCUUCAUGACAGUUAUUUCAGAAAUAAAACAAAACACCAACACA